Long non-coding RNA from Anopheles arabiensis, 2384 nucleotides. RefSeq lists it as uncharacterized. The transcript is spliced from 3 exons. The record is from RefSeq and is a predicted model, not a curated record. Lineage: Eukaryota; Metazoa; Arthropoda; Insecta; Diptera; Culicidae.
CAGACCAGCUCCAGAGUUGCAUAUGUAUGUGUUAUCUGUGUACUAGAGAGCUUAGAAGAGCAUGCGAUCAGCACUCCUCCGCCGCGAGAGCGAGAACUGUUCUCACCUUUACGAUCACAUCGGUAAAUUGAAUAGGAAUCAUCAGAGAUGAGAGAGGAUGGUAUUGACUCGUCGAGCCACGUUUCUGUCAGUGCAAUUAUGUCGUAAUCAGAUUCUCCCAGAGCUAGACGUAGAUUAUUUAGUUUGGUACGAAUUCCUCUAACGUUCUGAUAAAACACGUGCAGAUGUAAGUUAGAAGAGACAUUCAGGUGAGUAUGAGCCGAACUAUCAUCGAGGCCCACAGCAGUGAUUGGUGCUACGCCAAGGUAUGGUGAGGAGCGGGGUGCCAGCUGAUUAUUAUUACUGUUAUCAACUAUUGCUGGAUUGUUACUUGCUGUCUGUCUGUUGUUGUUUCGGUGCGUAUAGUUUCGGUGCGUAUAGUUUCGGUGGACGGUACUAUUGUGCAAUGUGUGUUCGGUUUCGGUGAUGAGCAAUGAGCGGGGCGAGGACCCGGGGUAGGAUGUGGCAUUGAUGCGUGGUGUGUGAUGGUAUGGUGAGGGGCGAGGUGCCAGGUAAUUAUUUAUACUGUUACUAUCUAAUGCUGGAUUGUUACUUGCUGUCUGUCUGUUGUUUCGGUGCAUGUGGCUUCGGUGGACAGCUCUAUCGUGCAAUGUGCGAUCGGUUUCGGUGAUGGGCAAUGAGCAAGGUGAGGACCCGUGGUGGGAUGUGGCAUUGAUGCGUGGUGUGUGUUGGUAUAGAUUUCCAAAGGUUUGCGGGGAAGGUUUCGAGAAGCAGGACACCAAAAAUUUUGAACAGGCGAUCGACGGUUAGUGAAUUCACGGAAAAUCAAUCCCGCAGGCCAGGUAGUCGGAGCGAGAGCCUUGCUUUUAAGCGAGAGCAUUAAUCCCACCUUAAAAGAAACAAAAGUGAGAGUGCUCGUAUCACGAUCCCGUGGCAGCAGCCUAAUAACGGUGACGUCAUCAGUGCCUAGUUGCAACCAUACUAAAGUGGCCAUAACCGUUGGAUGACAUCUCAGCACACCCUGAAAAGGUCACCAUGAAACUGCAGUUCUCUAAAUGGCAUAUAACGCUCCGGCCCCCUCGUGUAUCCGAGUGACAAGUAAUCACUCUCACCCUCACAGGCCCCGUCAAAAUGUGCAAAACUUCACUCACUAUCAACGACAUAAAACCACAUCACUUUUAUCGUGGCAAAGCGGUUCAGAGUUGACUCCGGUCGUAAUAAAUUCGAAACCAACAAUAUUCAAAUUUUUGUACAACAUCUGAAGGCUGUAGAACUUGGCCAAGUGCUUUAGCUCUUUUGGUGUUAGCCCUGCUGCCAGCGUUUACUUUUGUGGCAGGUUCCUAUGCUAGUUAGAUAACCUCACAAGACACCAUGAAGCGAUGACCAUCGAGAGAAUGACCCGAUUAUGACGCCGGUGGUUAAGCUUUUAUCAUUCUCCUACUCUUUCAACACGGCUGACACGGGUCACAGAGAGUAUCAUCAUAAUUUAUGCCAUUCUCUCACUUUUGUGAUCUGUUGCAGUCCUCUAGUGGAUCACAACAGCAAGGAUCUGUAGUGCAUCUUUGAUGGUGUAAAAAUAUGGUAUCAAAAUAAAAGUGCACCAGCGUCGGCGGCAUGAGCAUGGAAGGCAAAGUUUGGGUGGAAAAUAUGUACGAACUUGACGAUAUUUUUUAUCAAAUAUGCCACAAACCGACUGCAGGACAAUCCUUUUUGAGGCCAACUGCUUCUAUUAACCUAGGGUGUGUCGCGAGGCUGUCCUACGGUAGCUUCGCACACAGACAAGCAAGCAACGAUUGGAUGGGCGUGAGUGUGUUCGUAAAAGUUAAUCCAAAACUCAAACAAACCUCGUCGUCUGCGUAGCGAGCAGUGUAUGAAAAAGUAAGAUACCACAGAAUAUUAAAAUCCUGCAAUUUGAAAUUCAGUACGAGAAAGGCUUUGGAAAGGCGAAACAAGAGAAGAUGAAACGCCGGUUAGCAGGAAGCAGCGGACCAGAAGAAAGGAUACAAUAAGGGAGGUGAAAAAUAAUCGCGGAUGCGGAUGUUGAAAUGUACCCAACUUCAAACCAAUUAGCGUUUCUGUAAGAUAUUUCAGUGCUCCAAAAAGUAUGCUAAAAUAGUUAGAAACACUGACAAUGCCUUUAAGACCUAAACACCAUUCUUUACAAUAACAUAAUAUACAAUUAAAUGCUUAUUUUAAUUCCUUUUUUUAAACAUGUCGAACCUGGUGUGCUGGAGGCGACGACAUAAUGUGUUCAAUCUGUUCCAAUAUUUCACCAGUUAUGCGAAACACUCGUCACACGGGAUUAUUCUCCUUGGUAAAUGCCG